Molecule: ribosomal RNA, 468 nt
Filed under: uncultured bacterium
Lineage: Bacteria
Description: partial 16S ribosomal RNA
Rfam family: Bacterial small subunit ribosomal RNA
Source: RNAcentral
GACGAACGCUGGCGGCGUGCUUAACACAUGCAAGUCGAACGGAAAGGCCCUGCUUUUGUGGGGUGCUCGAGUGGCGAACGGGUGAGUAACAAGUGAGUAACCUGCCCUUGACUUUGGGAUAACUUCAGGAAACUGGGGCUAAUACCGGAUAGGAGCUCCUGCUGCAUGGUGGGGGGUGGAAAGUUUCGGCGGUUGGGGAUGGACUCGCGGCUUAUCAGCUUGUUGGUGGGGUAGUGGCUUACCAAGGCUUUGACGGGUAGCCGGCCUGAGAGGGUGACCGGCCACAUUGGGACUGAGAUACGGCCCAGACUCCUACGGGAGGCAGCAGUGGGGAAUAUUGCACAAUGGGCGGAAGCCUGAUGCAGCAACGCCGCGUGCGGGAUGACGGCCUUCGGGUUGUAAACCGCUUUCGCCUGUGACGAAGCGUGAGUGACGGUAAUGGGUAAAGAAGCACCGGCUAACUACGUG